GUCCUGGAGCUUGGCAACAUCUUUGGAGUCAUAUAACUGUCACAAUAGAUAAUGGCCCAUUUGUAGUCGUGGCACAUCACUCACAUUUCACAUUCAUCAUGCACUGCAGUCAUUUCCUAAGGAGAUCACAGUCAUACUGGAGUAUCAUUACUACUUCAUAGUAAAAUGACACUCACAUCAUCUUGUUAGGACUGUAUUAUUUGUAUAGUAAACCGAGUGGCUGAAUGACAAUCUGCAUAUUUUACAGUGCUUGCUUACAAGAAGAAAAUGUUUUAUAAAUGAACCUGAAUACACUUUAAAAAACUUUAAAAAACUUUAAAAAACACUUUAACAACCAGACAAAUGAACAAGGAACUUGCUGCUCUUGGGCUGGCACUUGUGGUCUCCAGAUUUUUGUUGCCAAACCAGUGGAAUUGAGAACAGCAAAACUCUCAUUGGAAAGAACGAGGAAUGGCCUUUCUGAAGCUAGCAUGAGAAUAUGUGGAUGGGCAAGGCCUGCAUCAUCAUUCUCUACAAGAAACAGCAGCCCCACAAACACACAAGAUACAAGCAAGUGCAUAACAAGAACAAAGAUUUCAAAUGGCUGCAGUUUGGGCUUUGUGGAACUUCAAUCAGUCAGUUUGUAUAGUGCAAAUCAAACAAAGCAAGCAGUGAGUGACCCCCCAACAUCUUCUCAUGGCACUCUCAGAAAAAGAGGUUACAUUGAACUUCCCAAGAUACAGGAGUAGGGCUACACGAAAGCCAUAGCAUCAAAGGCAGAAGGAAGGCAACAGCAAUAAACAAGAACUUGUUCUUUAGAUGUGGUGGAUG
Molecule: long non-coding RNA, 810 nt
Filed under: Pogona vitticeps (central bearded dragon)
Lineage: Eukaryota; Metazoa; Chordata; Lepidosauria; Squamata; Agamidae
Description: lncRNA (ENSPVIG00000003499.1)
Source: RNAcentral